UAGAGAGGAAGAGAAAGGUAGAGGGAAAAAAAAGGGAGGUGGAGAAAGAGAGAGAGAGAGAGAGAAAAAAUUUCUCUCGAAGUGUUUAUUUUCUACUUAGUUUCUCCAAUUACAAGAGAGGGAUUAAUUAUUGUUAUCUUCUUUUAUUUUGAGAGAAGUUAUUGUAAUUUUCCCACUAUAAUGAAAUCCUCCUAUACUUGCCCGUGGACGUAGAAUAAAUUGGGUGAACCACGUAAAUCUUUUGUGUCCAUUUUUUAGCUGCAUUUUCUCAAUUCCACUUCCGUUGCAAGCCAAACUUGUCCCACGUUUUCUAAAUGGAUUCCUCAGCGGCUGGAUGUACAUACAGAAUACCCAAAUGAUGUCUUAUAACAAAUGUAUGGAUGGAGCAAAAAAGGUUACUUCAUUUUCAACCAAAAUUUCUCAGUAUGUCAUAUACUUAACUUAAAAGAUCGC
RNAcentral lists this long non-coding RNA (453 nucleotides) under Olea europaea (common olive). RNAcentral describes it as "long non-coding RNA (OEUR_LNC001444)". Lineage: Eukaryota; Viridiplantae; Streptophyta; Magnoliopsida; Lamiales; Oleaceae. The record is from RNAcentral.